GUGCUUGCUUCAGAAGCACAUAUACUAAAAUUGGAAUGAUACAGAGAAGAUUAUCAUGGUCCCUGCGCAAGGAUGACAUACAAAGAAAAAAAAAGGCAAUCUUA
Arvicola amphibius (Eurasian water vole) is the source of this 104-nucleotide small nuclear RNA. Lineage: Eukaryota; Metazoa; Chordata; Mammalia; Rodentia; Cricetidae. The record is from RefSeq and is a predicted model, not a curated record.